Molecule: small nuclear RNA, 108 nt
Organism: Eptesicus fuscus (big brown bat)
Lineage: Eukaryota; Metazoa; Chordata; Mammalia; Chiroptera; Vespertilionidae
Source: RefSeq, a predicted model, not a curated record
GUGCUCGCUUCGGCAGCACAUGUAUCAAAACUGGAACGAUUCGGGGAAGAUUAGCAUGGCCCCUGUGCAAACGAUGACCAAAAAAUAAAAAUAAAUUAAAAAAUCCCA